Molecule: ribosomal RNA, 518 nt
Filed under: uncultured bacterium
Lineage: Bacteria
Description: bacterial SSU rRNA
Rfam family: Bacterial small subunit ribosomal RNA
Source: RNAcentral
AGAGUUUGAUCCUGGCUCAGGAUGAACGCUAGCGGCAGGCUUAACACAUGCAAGUCGAGGGGUAACAGGGUGCUUGCACCGCUGACGACCGGCGCACGGGUGCGUAACGCGUAUACAAUCUACCUUUUACAGAGAGAUACCCCAGAGAAAUUUGGAAUAAUACCUCAUAAUAUUAUUGCUCGGCAUCGAGUGACAAUUAAAGUUUCGGCGGUAAAAGAUGAGUAUGCGUCCUAUUAGCUAGUUGGUAAGGUAACGGCUUACCAAGGCGACGAUAGGUAGGGGUCCUGAGAGGGAGAUCCCCCACACUGGUACUGAGACACGGACCAGACUCCUACGGGAGGCAGCAGUGAGGAAUAUUGGUCAAUGGGCGAAAGCCUGAACCAGCCAUGCCGCGUGCAGGAAGACUGCCCUAUGGGUUGUAAACUGCUUUUAUACAGGAAGAAACACUCCCUCGUGAGGGAGCUUGACGGCACUGUAUGAAUAAGCACCGGCCAACUCCGUGCCAGCAGCCGCGGUAA